GCCAGGCGUGGUGGCGGACACCUGUAAUCCCAGCUACUCAGGAGGCUGAGGUAGGGGAAUCGCUUGAACCUGGGAGGCAGGGUUGCAGUGAGCUGAGAUCAUGCCACUGCACUCCAGCCUAGGUGACAAAGCGAGACUCCAUCUCAA
Molecule: signal recognition particle RNA, 147 nt
Filed under: Homo sapiens (human)
Lineage: Eukaryota; Metazoa; Chordata; Mammalia; Primates; Hominidae
Description: Metazoan signal recognition particle RNA
Rfam family: Metazoan signal recognition particle RNA
About the family: The signal recognition particle (SRP) is a universally conserved ribonucleoprotein. It is involved in the co-translational targeting of proteins to membranes.
Source: Rfam by way of RNAcentral